UAGGGAAUCUUCCGCAAUGGGCGAAAGCCUGACGGAGCAACGCCGCGUGAGUGAAGAAGGUCUUCGGAUCGUAAAACUCUGUUAUUAGGGAAGAACAAAUGUGUAAGUAACUAUGCACGUCUUGACGGUACCUAAUCAGAAAGCCACGGCUAACUACGUGCCAGCAGCCGCGGUAAUACGUAGGUGGCAAGCGUUAUCCGGAAUUAUUGGGCGUAAAGCGCGCGUAGGCGGUUUUUUAAGUCUGAUGUGAAAGCCCACGGCUCAACUGUGGAGGGUCAUUGGAAACUGGAAAACUUGAGUGCAGAAGAGGAAAGUGGAAUUCCAUGUGUAGCGGUGAAAUGCGCAGAGAUAUGGAGGAACACCAGUGGCGAAGGCGACUUUCUGGUCUGUAACUGACGCUGAUGUGCGAAAGCGUGGGGAUCAAACAGGAUUAGAUACCCUGGUAGUCCACGCCGUAAACGAUGAGUGCUAAGUGUUAGGGGGUUUCCGCCCCUUAGUGCUGCAGCUAACGCAUUAAGCACUCCGCCUGGGGAGUACGACCGCAAGGUUG
This 550-nucleotide ribosomal RNA is filed under the name uncultured bacterium. RNAcentral describes it as "bacterial SSU rRNA". It matches the Rfam family "Bacterial small subunit ribosomal RNA", at positions 355 to 896 of the family's 1533-position model. The record is from RNAcentral.